This 87-nucleotide ribosomal RNA is filed under the name Brassaiopsis gracilis. RNAcentral's name for it is "partial 5.8S ribosomal RNA". It matches the Rfam family "5.8S ribosomal RNA", at positions 73 to 154 of the family's 154-position model. Rfam says of the family: 5.8S ribosomal RNA (5.8S rRNA) is a component of the large subunit of the eukaryotic ribosome. It is transcribed by RNA polymerase I as part of the 45S precursor that also contains 18S and 28S rRNA. Lineage: Eukaryota; Viridiplantae; Streptophyta; Magnoliopsida; Apiales; Araliaceae. The record is from RNAcentral.
UGCAGAAUCCCGUGAACCAUCGAGUCUUUGAACGCAAGUUGCGCCCGAAGCCAUUAGGUUGAGGGCACGUCUGCCUGGGCGUCACGC